This 249-nucleotide ribosomal RNA is filed under the name uncultured bacterium. RNAcentral describes it as "partial 16S ribosomal RNA". It matches the Rfam family "Bacterial small subunit ribosomal RNA", at positions 524 to 775 of the family's 1533-position model. The record is from RNAcentral.
UACGAAGGGGGCUAGCGUUGCUCGGAAUCACUGGGCGUAAAGGGUGCGUAGGCGGUCUUUAAGUCAGGGUGAAAUCCUGGAGCUCAACUCCAGAACUGCCUUUGAUACUGAAGAUCUUGAGUUCGGAGAGGUGAGUGGAAUGCCGAGUGUAGAGGUGAAAUUCGUAGAUAUUCGGCGGAACACCAGUGGCGAAGGCGACUCACUGGCCCGAUACUGACGCUGAGGCGCGAAAGCGUGGGGAGCAACAGG